This 42083-nucleotide long non-coding RNA is filed under the name Oryza sativa (Asian cultivated rice). Its description in RNAcentral is "long non-coding RNA (OSAT_LNC001867)". The stretch from base 33649 to 33856 matches the Rfam family "MIR812 microRNA precursor family". Lineage: Eukaryota; Viridiplantae; Streptophyta; Magnoliopsida; Poales; Poaceae. The record is from RNAcentral.
CCCGCCGGAGAAGCUGCAUAAGCUCUCCUUCUUCAACUGGUGGAUGUUCACCAUCUUCCUCGGCAUCCUCUUCUCCACCACCGUCCUCGUCUACCUCCAGGACAACGUCAGCUGGACCGUCGGCUACGGCAUCCCCACCCUGGGCCUCAUGGUCUCCGUCGCCGUCUUCCUCUCCGGUACGCCGCUGUACCGCCACAAGGUGCCCCAGGGUAGCCCCCUCGCCACGAUGGGGAGGGUCGUCGCCGCCGCCGUGUGGAAGUGGCGCGUCCCGCUCCCCGCCGACUCCAAGGAGCUCCACGAGCUCGAGCUCGAGCACUACACCACCCGCCGCGGGUUCCGCAUGGACGCGACGGUGUCCAUGGCGUUCCUGAACAAGGCGGCGGUGAAGCCGGGCGAAGGAGGAGGAGGAUCGGUGGCGCGGCUGCCCGGGUGGACGCUGUGCACGGUGACGCAGGUGGAGGAGACGAAGCAGAUCGUGAAGCUGGUGCCGCUGCUCGCCACAAUGGUGGUGCCGUGCACGCUGGUGGCGCAGGCGGGCACGCUGUUCGUCAAGCAGGGCGUGACGCUGGACCGCCGCAUCGGGAAGUUCCACGUGCCGCCGGCGAGCCUCGGCGCGUUCGUGACGGCGACGAUGCUCAUCUGCAUCGUGCUCUACGACCGGUUCCUCGUCCCCGCCGUGCGCCGGCGGACCAAGAACCCGAGGGGGAUCACGCUGCUGCAGCGGAUCAGCCUGGGGAUGCUGCUCCAGAUCGUGACGAUGGUGGUGACGUCGGUGGUGGAGAGCCAGAGGCUGGGGUACGCGAGGAGGCACGGGCUGGUCGCCACCGGCGGGCAGCUGCCGGUGACGAUCUUCAUCCUGCUGCCGCAGUUCGUGCUGCUGGGCGUCGCCGACGCGUUCCUGGUGGUGGGGCAGAUCGAGUUCUUCUACGACCAGGCGCCGGAGAGCAUGAAGAGCCUCGGGACGGCGAUGUCGCUGACGGCGUACGGCGCCGGGAACCUGCUGAGCAGCGCCAUCCUCGCGGCCGUCGAGCGGGUCACCGGCGGCGGCAAGGGGAGGACGCCGUGGGUGACCAACAACCUCAACGCCUCGCGCCUCGACUACUACUACGCGUUCCUCGCCACCCUCGCCGCCGCGAACCUGCUGGCGUUCGUCGUGCUCAGCUGCAAGUACUCGUACCGCGUCGAGUCCACGGAGACCAUCGACGUCGACGUCGCCAUGGACAACGUCGCGCAGGGCGGCGGCGUGGUGACGGUCAAAUCAGAGGCAGCCCCAAUGGCAUGACAGCACUUCCGGAAUUGUAUCCUGUCUAUUCCCGUCUGGAUUCUGAAGUUGCAAUGUAAUGAAGAAACGGUGAUGAUACAUAUUAGCACUUUAAAAAUGUUAAAUGAAAAUUUUAUUUACUCGUUCUGUAAAGGAACGGUAAUACGGACAAUAUUCACAGCUUCACACAAUCGCACUAGUAGCACCAUCGUUUCUCUUAUGCCUAUACUUAAGCUAAAAUGUGAAUUUUAAAGCUUCACUUUAGAGUUGAUUUUGUGUUUUUUUUAAAUAUAGUUUAUUUUACAGUAUUUGCUUUCGAAUCGAUAAGGACACGUCGCAUAAAUUAUUUUUUAAUUUGUUAAUAAACGAUUCGCAUGAACGUAAGUAUAAGUAAAAGGAUGGAACCAUAAAUAUCUAGGAGUAAUUUGGUGACAACGAUGGAGAUGCACUAUUACAGUCAUGACGCUAGAGGCAACUAACUCCAUCCAUCCUAAAAUAUAGCAAUAUAGUACAUGAUGGGACAUGUAUGUCCAUAUUCAUAGUACUAUGAUAUAUCACAUCUCAUAUUAGAUUGUUAUAUUUUGCGACGGAUGAAGUAUUUGAGAGAUACUAGCUCCGUUUUUUAAUAGAUAACGCCGUUGACUUUUUCUCACAUGUUUGACCAUUCGUCUUAUUUAAAAAAUUUACGUAAUUAUAAUUUAUUUUGUUAUGAGUUGUUUUAUCACUCAUAGUAUUUUAAGUGUGAUUUAUAUCCUAUAUAUUUGUAUAAAAUUUUUGAAUAAGACGAAUAGUCAAACAUGCGAGAAAAAGUCAACGGCGUCAUCUAUUAAAAAAACGGAGGGAGUAUAUCAUAUCGGCCGAUGAUGUAAGCUAGUAGCUGAUCCUUUCAAAUUAUUUAUCUUUCUAGGUUUGGACUUAAGUCAAGUAUUUCCAUCUUUUUACCAUCAGAUAUAUGUUUUAACAACAUGGAAAUUAUGUACCACCAGAAACAAGGCACGCUUAUAUAUAACGUGUUCAUAUGACUAGGUACACUCUAACUCAACUGGAUUGACCGUAGUCAGCUCGCCACCUGAGCUGAAAGCAGGCACAAUAUUGUCGAUCUCGGAUACUUCGCUACUGUAAAUUGACGAACAUGACAUCAAGACGAGAAAUCUAAGGAAUAAGUCCAGUUUGACUCCCUUAACUAGUGACCGAAUUUGAUCUGUAUCCCUAAACCACAAUACCGGAUAUCUUCGACCCCCAAACUAUUGAAAUCGGUGCAAUUUGACUCCCUUGGCGGUUUUGGAGGGCAGUUUCACUUAUGUAGGGCCCGCUCACAUAUGGGACCCAUAUACGAUCCUCCCUUUCCUUCCCUUAUUCCUCCUUCCUUUCUCUCUCUCCCCCUUACCUUCCCUUCUUCCUCCUCCCUUUCUCUCCCUUACCGUUGGUGCACCAGUAGUUCAGCAGCGGUGCCGGGACCGGGCCGUCGUUUGUUGUUUGUUGGGAGGACGCCAAGUAGGGCGACGUCGAGGAGCGAGACGGUGGCCUCUCCCCGGAGGUCCUAGUGGCGUGGGCGCCGAGCCAGCCGCGGAAGGAGACGCGGAUCUAGGUGUUAGAGACGGCGGCGCGGAGAGGAGGAGGGCAGAAGGGGGAAGGUGGGGCCGGGACUCCGGCGAGCGGGGCAAUCCCCGUUCACGUCGCUCCUCUCGACCUUCGUUGCAUGGGAUGCUACCAUCGGUUGCCCACUCAUCCGCGCCAAGCUCGAUGCCAUGGGGGCCACAUCUACCACCAGCGGGGCCCAAUGAGGCACGCGGGGGCAAGGACAUGAGGGCGCGCCACGUUGGGGUGCUCGUCAAGAUGUGCUGGUGUGGACGUGGAUCCCUGACGCGCUUGUUUGGAUUUCUGCAGGAAGUCGAAGCUGUCCCGCCGGCGCCACUCCAGCACCUGCCCGCCACCACUCCAAAACAUGCUCCUCGCACACGACUGAAGAAGGGGUAGAGAGAGGGAGAGAGGAGGGAGACAGAGGGAAGAGUAAGAAGGGAAGGAGAGAGAGGAUGACAUUUGGGUCCCACAUGUUUGUGGGUCCACAAUUUUUUUUUGAAUAACAAGUGGGUCCACAAUAUAUAUAUAUAUAUAUAUAUAUAUAUAUAUAUAUAUAUAUAAGUUCUAAUGACAUGUAAGCGCCACGUCAACGCCACGUUGUACGAACACUAGGUCAAUACUACCACGUAGGCGCUACGUCAGCGAAGCUGCCCUCCAAAACCGCAAAUGGAGUCAAAUUGCGCCCGUUUUAAUAGGUGAGGAUCAAUAUAUCCGGUAUUGUAGUUCAAUGAUAGGAAUCAGAUUCGGUCACUAAUUAAGUGAGUCAAAGUGGGCUUAUUCCGAAAUCUAAAGUAAGCUUAUUUCAUAACAAAAUUCAGCUCAGUUACUCUUGGGUCAAUAAGCUAGCCUAAUAAACCGGGAAGAAAAGUCAGAAAACAAUCUCGCUAGCUUCCACCUCUCAUGCUGCAGCAUGCUUAUAAAGCAAAGACAAAUCUAGGGUUGAUUUAGCCUUCAUACUCAAUGGAGUUAUUCCUAUAUGCUCCGCUGAGAUAUGUUGUUUGUUUCACUUUCAAUCGGUUAAACGUUGACUGAACAGUCGUCAUCAUCACGAUGUAAUUUCUACCUUUCAAUCGGUUAAACGUUGACUGAACAGUCGUCAUCAUCACGAUGUAAUUUCUACCUGGAAAGGAGGCGUCGAAGGAGCUUAAUGAAACAUAUCAAAUACAAUGCAAUUAGACAAUAUGAGUGAACUCUUCAUCCAAAUAAAUCCUUAUCCAUGACCCAAAAAUCAUUCUCUUCCAUUAUCUGAAGAAGAUUAGCUCACCAAGUUAGUAGAAGUGUUCAUCAUCUAUCCUCGACUAGUUCAAAAGCAGCAAGACCACCUUCCCACGGUGUGUAAAUGAACCCCAAAACAGAAAAAAAACUCCCAAAUAACACGCCACAAAAGGUAUGGUAGGUGUGGCUUGACAAUAUUACAUUCACUGGUUGUUAGGUUAAGCAUUAAACAAUCACAUGUCUCAGCAUCUGCCACUAUAAAAGUUCAUUUUUAAGGACAGUCAUAUAGAAACUUUAAUUUUCUGAGUCUAAUUAUUGGUCUUGAUAAUGUAUCCAAACAUUUACAAUCGUUAUUUUUCAUGAUCCACACAUACUGACUAUGACCUAUAUGAAUAAUGAGACGACCAAUCAAGAAAACUGUAGUAAAGAAUAAUUAGGCAAUUUGUUUUGUUGGUUUGUUGUGGGAUAUGUUAUAUGUUAAUCAAGUUAGUCCUUCUUAUUGGAGUUGAAGAGAUGACAUAAAAAAUGUUUCUAUGUGAACAAAGUAACAUUAAGAAGAUAACCCGUUAAACUCUUUUUUUCUUAUAGUAAAGCGUUCAACUUUGUGUUGCGACUCCAAAGCUUUAUUAUGGCACAAAAACUUUACACAAGGCUCUAAUUAUUCUUUUACUAUAAAUCUUAAUUUGUUAUGAUGAUGAUUUUUAAAACUAACUUUUAACUUUUAAUUUGUUGAGUUGGACGACAAGUUCAGUUAUGUAAAGCUCCAAGGUCACUGAUAGAAGUGAGCAACUGUUAGUAUUUUCAUAUUUACUUUUCAAUGAUUUAUAUCCUAAAUGGCAAUUGCGGAGUUCAUUACAUAUAUAUCAAUAGCUAAACUUGUUAUAUGUAUUACAGGAUUGAUCAGUUGCUUAAGCAUCAUCUCUUAUCGCCCUUAUAGGAAACUAUGGCUCAAAAAUAAAAACAUUUAAAGGAUAUUAUUUUUUUCUAAAUAAUAUGGUUCAUUGCAUGUUGAGUUUUUUGUUACAACUAUAUAAGAUAUAUAGUUCUUAUUGAUGCGGCUUAAUACAUGUUGAUUUUUAUAGUAAUGACUAUAUUAAGUGCGCUAUAAAUGCAAAUGACAUAUAAAUGAUUAUGAUUAAAACAUAAGAAAGAUUGAACUAUUAUUAUUUUCUAUAUUAUGGCUCACUGCAUAUUGAGCUUUUGAUUAUAUCUACUAUUAUAAAAAUUGAAUAUAUUUUUGCCGUCAUUCGUAUUUUGGUAUGUCAUCCGUAUUUGAGUCAUUUUUUAAGUUCGUUCGCUUUUGAAAAUGUAGAUCCGUGUUUGAGUCAGAUUUUAAGUUCGUUUGCUUUUAAAAAUACAAAAGAAGUCAUACAAGAAAUUUCUUUAAAAGAACUUGCAUGCUAACUUGGGAUUAAAGUCGGACUCCUAACUGCAGCUCAUGUUUUUUUAAAAAAAAUAUCCAAGCGAAUUCCUGAAUUUCAUUCUAUCUAAACCGUAUAACAAUAAUAAGAUUAAAAUAACAUUCACCCAUUGCAACGCACGGGCAUUUUUCUAGUAACUAUAUAAAUAUGAUAUAUCAAUAAUACUCUAGCACAUCAUAUCUUCAAAGCAGGUUGCGGAGGACGGUCCUAUUUAUAUUUCUAUAAAAGUGUACGGAUGUUUGACAAGUGGAAAAUAUCCAAAUCCCCCUUAAAAAUCUCUUUAGAGUUUUUAAUGCUCAUGAGUUAUAUUCCUAUUUAAAUACUUUUUAUCCUGGUAAAGGGAUUUCUUCUUGGACCUCUUUAAGGAAUACCUACCUUUUUCCCUUUUCCAUGUCUAGAAUCAUCGAAGAGAAAUUAUAUUGACAAUUCAACGUAUCUUUAAACCUUUCCACAAGCAUGCAUUUCUUGCUUGCCUUACUUUGAGUAGUCCGCGUGCUCUGGACUGUGUUAACGACCAAGUUUGGUAAUACCAGCAUCGGAGAUGGAGAUGGGAUCGAAGCGGAAUCGAAGAUGAUGGUUGUUGCGGAAACAGAGUAAAAUCGGCUGGAGUCCGGGUCGGCUACGACUGGGAUCGGCUAAGUCUGAGUUAGACUGGGUUAAGUGAUACAGCCGAUUCCGACAAUACGAUCUGUGUACGAUGUCGGGUUCGAGUUGAUGUGCUUCAAGAUGAUUGCCAUGCAUGGAUAGAGUCCUGGGAAGGCAAUUGUAUCUAUUAAUUAGGAUAUUUUAUGUAAAUUCCUUAGAGAUAUGUUUGGGCAAAAGUCUGCCGCAAAGACUUAUGGUAUCUUAGAGUUUGUUAGAAAUAGUAGUCGUGUCCGGUAUGGGCAUAUCUUGUAAUUUUCGGGUAUAAAUAGGCCCCGAGCCCUAUGUAAUUUUUAACACACGCACGUUCAAUACAAUUUCGGCGCAUCGCCACCUUUUGCUUUAGUUUUAUUUCGACGAGUUCUUACUUUCGGGUUGAGCUGCAUCGGUUUCGAUCUUCGACAAGAGGUAAAACUUGUUGUGAUGAUUUGCUUUCUCGGGAUUAGUGCUUCCAUCUCAUGAUACUCUAAUCUUGUUUAUGUGAUUCGUCAAGUUAUCAUAUAUCUUACGUAAUCUCUGGCAAUACCGUUAUCUAACCUACAAUUGGCCAACAUCUAUCGAGGAAGGCAGCCGAUUAGGUUAGAUGUCGAUGUUGAUUUAGAUUAUAUAAGAUAUCUACCACCCUAUGAAAUAUCCAGCGGCUUGAUUGUCUAGAUAUUGUUCUUCUUUUCAUACUUAAUGCUGCAUCAGUUGAGUUUGAUCUAUUAAGUCGUGCUUAGAAUCAUAAUCUCUAGCCUGCCUUUGGUUGCCGAUCAGGGUAGUAUCGGAGUUUCAGCCGAUCUUAUCUGAUUUAACUAUAUUUGUUUUAUAUGCUUAAUUGAUAUGUUAAGUCUGCCCUUUAUAUCAAGAUCUUGUCGCAUCUAAAUACGUUAAGCUUCUACUUGAGUAUUCUACUUGCUUUAAUAUCUUAAUAUAAAGUGGUAUCGGAGUAUUAGCCGGUACAUACUAGAUCUAUUUGAUCGGCUAUGCUAUAAACAUAUAUAGUCUUGUUAUUAAUGUAUAUUUUGAUCUAAGUGAUUUAUAUUGUCUCGGUGUGGUGACCGAUCUAUCCCAAUCACUUGAUUUAAGUAUACGUCGAUAUAAAGAUUAUAUAUUGUUAAUAUCUACAGCCGAUCGAGUAGAUUUAGUUUCUUGCUACUUAUUGAUGAUCGCCGAUCGAUUCACAUACGACAUCGGCUCGGAGAUAAAUGAUAUGUUAUCGGCACCUAGCCGAUCGGCUAUCAUUUAUAGAUUUGACCACGGUUUCUUUGUCUUUGUUUCUUGUUGAUUGCAGGAUCAAAUCAACUGGCACGCUCAUACAUCCGAAGGCGAGCUUUGGACCUGCACUGGAGUUAAGCAGAUCUCCCAGGCCUCGUGUUUUCUGUCAACAGACUGUUGAAUAGAUCAAAGUGGAAAGUGGAACCAUGCUUCCUCUCCUUGGUGAGUUUGCCCUCCUUCAGUUCUAGCAAGAUGAUGGUGACAAUAGAGUCACUAACUCUUCCAGGUGCUAGACAUCGUUACUACAUAAAUUGACAUAUGUGACAGUCCAACAUGACCCAUUUGAGAUGAUCUUAUCUCUAAUAGCUAUAGAGAUCCAAAGUUUGGAUCCAAAUUUCAGUCCUUUUCCAUCACAUCAACCUGUCAUACACACACAACUUUUAAGUCACAUCAUCUCCAAUUUCAACCAAAAUCUAAACUUUGGAUCCAACUAAACACAGCCUAGGUUGAAAAGUACCAUGUUUGAGAUAUAGCUAUAGGGAACGACCUAUCAUAGAUGUGACCUCACAUCUGUGCAUGAUGGGUGACAUUGUAUGAACCGUCCAAGAUGAGCUCUCACUCUAACAGAUCUAUUAUGAGAUGUUACGUAUGCACGGGUUUUAUCUUUAACCUAUUAGUCAUCAGAGAUGACUUAUUCACUUACAAACAACACUAACCUAUUAUGAGAUGUUACAUACGCGCUAUGGCGGGUCUUAUAUUGAACCCAUUAGUCAUCAGAGAAGACUUAUUCACUUGUAGACAACACUAACUCUUGUAAUUCCCGAUUCUCUCGUACUCUCCACCUCCUAGCUACUAGCAUCCUCCUCUCCACCUCGAGUUGCCCUGCGUUGACGACCUCAGUGCUAAUAUAGCCAAUGAAGCAGCACCCCAGUGGCCUUUGCUUAUGCUGCCCUACAGCAGGUAUUAUACUGCCCUGUAAAUUCUAAGUUGAAUAUCUAGGAACAGUAUUACUGAAUCUGGCAGUGAAACCUUCCUGUGCUUGUUUCUGGUUUGAUGGGAUUUGGUUGAAGCAAACAACCAUGACUGCUCUGCUUGUACAACUCUUGUCCCUCUGCUCAGCUUACUUGAAUGUGUACUGAUUGUGUGCUUCACCCAUCUAACUCUUUGAAUUUGCACUUGAGAUUGUUUUUUCUAGGAGCUUUCUGUUACUGAAUCUGUAGAUGGGCAUCUACUGCAUCAUCGCUUUCCAUAUGGAUUGUUGUGUUCAUGUCUUUCAAGUUUACAUGACUAUAUCUCCUAAUCUUAACAUGGAUAUGUAUAUCAUAUAAAAUUUCAGGCUUCAGAAAUUUUUUUGAACAAAUAAUUUCAAGCAUCAGCUAUGCUUCAAGUCAUUGUAUGAAGUAUGAAACUUCAGCCAUCAUUUAACAGUUAACAUUUUGGUGCUAAACAUAUUAACUAUAUUCUUUAAAAGCUUACAAUUAUUAUGUCUACUACUCUUGGUAAAUAUUCCCUACCUAGCUUCUAUAUUGUGUUGCUAAGCCACAUAUAACAUUUUGGUUGCUAAACAACUUCUACUACUGGAUGUUCUUAGAAGACAAAGAGGUGCGUAGAGAUGAUUUUGUGCUUGUGGAUUGUAAAACGCCAACUGACACACAUAUGUAUGUCCUAGCAGACACUACUUCUCGUUCACUGUUAUAUUGAGUCAGUAUUUCAGAUGGGAAGUUUGUGUGCCCUGAUAAAAUUCUGAAGGUGCAGUGCCAUGUGGACCAUCAGAAAGUAGAUUAUGGCAUUCUUGCGAAUCACUUUGUGCGCAUAGGAUCAACUUUAUACAUUAUCCCUUCAUCUCCAAGCAAAAAGAUGGGCACAAUUGAGAGCAGGUGCUAUUAGCCAGCUCUAAACAUAUUUUAAUGAGAUAAACGAUGAGAGAGAAGAGAAGCGGACUGCAGAUCUGUAGCCAGCUGCAACACGGACUCCAAGACACACCGUGUGUAUGACAGGUGGGACCAUAUAUUAAUAGUAUAGCAAGCAACUAUUGUAUAAAUUGACUAUUUAAUUGGCUAUAGAUGAAUUGGAGCUAGUAGUGGGCUGUACUAUUAGACUUGCUCUGAUGAUCAGGCUAUUACGGUCUGCUUUGUUCGAACAGAACGAUCUCCUGUAUCUUUCAGUUGAUUUCGUAGUUGACCAUGGUAGCAUUGUUGGUCUAGGUGACACUCUGAAGCAUGUGUUUAUCCUGCAAAUGGCGAAAUGGCAACACAUGGAGACAAUCCUCGAGUUCAUCUCUAGAUCGAACUAGGAGCAUCAUUGUUUCUGGGUUCGUUAGCCUAGGUGAUACUUCUUUCACAGUGACCGAUGCCAAGACCAGUGACUUCUUCUUUCCUUGACUUAAUGGAUCAAGAAUGGCGUGUCAUCGGGCCACGAGUACCCUAAAGCAUCUCCAACAGCCUCUCCAAUUUUGACUCUCCAAAUGUCUAUUUGGCCAACUCUCAAUCUAAUUUGGCAAGUCAAACUCUUUACUCCAACAGCCUCUCCAUCUAUCAUCUCCAUUACAAGUCAAUGAUAAAUGAAACCCAUAUGUCAGCCUCAUCAUACCUUCUUCCAUCUUUUUUUCCCCACCCAUGGCCAUACUACAUCUCCCUUGGCAUGCUGUUUGGGAGAUGUAUAUUCAUUGGAGGAUACAUCUACACACCAUGGGAAGGUGACCUUGCUACAUUCAAAUCAGAGGCACCCCCAAUGGCAUGAGAGCACUUCCGAAAUUGUAUCCUGUCUAUUCCCGUCUGAACUCUGAAGUUGCUAUGUAAUGAAGAAACGGUGAUGAUACAUAUUACUGUAGCACUUUAGACAUGUUUAAUGAAAAAUUUAUUUACUCUUUAUGUAAAGAACAGUAAUACGGACAAUAUUCACAGCUUCACAUAAUCACACUAGCAGCACCAUCAUUUCUCUUAUGCCUAUACUUAAGCUAAAAUGUGAAUUUUAAAACUUCAUUUUAGAGUUGAUUUUGUGUUUUUUUUUUCAAUAUAGUUUAUUUUACAGCAUUUGCUUUCAAAUCGAUAAGGACACGUCCCACAAACUAUUUUUUAAGUUGUUAAUAAAUGGUUCGCAUAAACGUAAGUAUAAACAAAACGAUGGAAUCGUAAAUAUCGAGAAAAUUGCAUAUCUAUCAUCGUAUAAGAUGGGAUUAGCUCAAAUACCAUUACUCAAAUGGGCUUCACUGAAAAAACAAUCCUCAACCAAGAUAUCUUUGCUCAAAUACCAUCCCAGGCGAAAAUGCCCCUUAGCACUUCUUCUUCCUCCCUCCCUCCUUCGUUGAAUAGGUUGACGGUAUAGAUGGCCAUAAGGCCCGCCCGGCACGGCCUAGCCCAGGCACUGGCUAGGCACUUCAUGCCCACGGGCUACACCUCAGGCCCAGGCACGGCCCACCAGUAGUCGGGCCGUUUCGUGCCGGCCUGAGCCCUGAAGACACGUGUGGCCCAUCGUGCCUUCUUUAAAAUAAGUUUAUUUCCCCUCCAUCCUUUUUGGGUUGUGACAUAUAUAUAGCUAAAAUAAGUCUAUUUUACGUCCCAACUCUUUAGGCCAUGCCAUAUAAUAUGUCUAUUAUUCCUCCCUAUUCUUUGUGCCGUACCACACAUAGGGUUGAAAUAAGUCUGUUUUGCAUCCCUGAACUUCGUGCCGGCCUAGCGUGCCGAGGUAGCAGCCCGGGCACGACACUGCUGUUGGGCCGGCCGGGCCAAAUCACUGGGCCUUGGGCCAUAUGGUCAUCUACCGUCGAGGGCAACGAGUCAGGGUGGGGCGGCAACGCGCGACGGCGGCCAGCGAGUCGGGGCGGGGCUAAAGUGUGUGACAAUGUCCGAGACUACACGAGCGACGACGGUGAGGCAGUGGAGCCGGUGGUGGUCGCCGGUGAACUAUUCAGCCACUGGAGGGAGGGAGAGAGGAAGAAGAAAACCUAAGGGGAAUUUCCAUCCAGGAAGGUAUUUGAGCAAAAACAUUUUGGUUGAGGAUGGUAUUCUAGCGUAGCCCAUUUAAGUAAUAGUAUUUGAGUGAAUCCCAUCUUAUGCGAUGGUAGAUAUGCAAUUUUCUCGUAAAUAUCUAAUUAGAUGACAAUGACAGAGAUGCACUAUUAUAGUCGUCGUUGCGCCAAAAGCAACUAACUGAUACUACAUCCAUCCCAAAAUAUAGUAACCUAGUACUUCCUCCGUUUUACAAUGUAAGUCAUUCUAGCAUUUCCCACAUUCAUAAUCUAGAUAGAUAUAUAUGUCUAGAUUCAUUAACAUCAAUAUGAAUAUGAGAAAUGCUAGAAUGACUUACAUUAUGAAACGGAGGGAGUACAUUACAUGAUGGGACAUAUAGGAAUAAGUUCACCUGCCGUCCCUCAACUUUACACAGAGUUUUUUUGACAUCCCUUAUCCACAUACUAGAAAUCUUCACCCCUAAACUAUACAAAACCGUCUAAUUUAGAUCCCAUGGCAGCAUUGAUGCCUAGUUUCGCUGACGUGGCAUCCUAGUCAGCACAAAUAAAAUAAAAUGUGGGGCCCACAUGUCAGUGAGAGAAAAUGAUGUGGGCCCCACAUCUCCUCUUUCUUUUCAUUUUCUCUUCUCUUCUCUCGAGCAAGCGUGGCGACAGAUGGGGGAGAGGCGGUCAGCGGCGGAGCAGGGGCGGUGGCCGGCAGAGCGGGCGCGACGGGGGCAGAGCUGGCCCAGCGGGCGGGCGAGCGCACGGAGAAGAAGCUAGGCGGCGGCCGGCGGAGCGGGCUGUCGUAGGCUCUCCGGACCUUCCAUUAUAAUUGAGAGAUGAAGUGAAUAAUUCAAGUCAUCAAACAAGCAUAAUGAAAUAUCCGACGCCUCGAGAGAGGAAUAUUGGAGAUAUUGCUAGGCCUUUAGCUUGCCAGUCAACUUCAGCCUGAGAUGUGCCCGUCAAACCACUCGAAGGCGGCGACCAGAUGUGUUACACAUUCAGGAGACUUGACAAAAAUGGCUAAAGUUCUACAACAUCUCAAAUAUUUCUAACUCAUACUCAUGUGAAUCUAGUUCCCAGGAUGUGCACUAGAUUCACACUUUCAUCUCAAGCAUGAUUAUACAUAGCAAACACAAAUAAGAUGAAAGCAUCUACUUUAGUUACAUUGGCCGACCGGCCAAAUAAAUAAUAGAACAGCGGAAGCUUGUCUACCCAAUCCACAAGCACACCGACUAGGGGUUUACCCAUUAUGUUCAAGUCCUAGAAGAAGCAGUCGAUAACCCGCAUCACUCAAAGACUAAGUCUAAAUCCUGCAAGCAAAAGUUAAUUCAACAGCAAGAGUCAGUACAUUAUUAGAAAUAAUGUACUGGCAAGCACCAAGACAAGCCUAACACCCUACUUGCAAGGUAUAUAAUCAAGGAAGGCAUAGUAUGGUUCUUUUUAGCAUAAAGCAAGUUUUAUUUGCAUAAAACACAUUCAAAACGGAUUUGCUUUCAAAUAAAAUUUCAGCAAGCUAGUACUUAGCAUAUGGGCAUCAAAGUAGGCAUUAAUCAUGUAUAAAUAUUCACCUCAUUGCCAUCCAUGGCAGCAAGGAGAUCAUUCUCAAAUCUCAUCACAAUUUGAAGGUAAAUUUCAGCAUUUAGGAGAAUAAACACAAGUCUAUACUCAAUACAUAUCCACACGCCGCUCAUGACCGCGAGCACGGCUAAUCGAUUAGUUUUAACUCUGCAGAGUUUGUACACUUUACCCACAUGAUGCGAAAUAAUAAUCAUGCAAGAGCAUGGCACGCGAUACAUAAGUACCCGAUUUAUUACCCGCAACAAAGCUUUUCCAAAAUUCAUGAUUUAGCCUUACACCAGCACGAUACGUGUUCCUCCAUCCUAGUCAUACUGGAAAUAUGACCUAGAACCGUUAAGUGGCGGGCCCACGCCUUGAACUUAACGCCGUGGUGGCGGACACAACGGGAACCCACCCACGUGGCACAAUACCGUUGUAUUGGACAGACUUAGUCACCUAAACUACCACGUCGGGGUAAAUAGGAAGUUCCUCUGAGUUAUCCGAACUCAUACACACCGGCCUACCAGAAUGUAAGGCUAAACCAUAAAUAAUUUACUAAGCUUGGGCUAUCCCAUACUAGCACAUGUGGUUGUACUGUAUACGAAAUGAACUGAUAUUGAGUGAAGUCCUUAGGUCGGUUUGGGCGCACUCUCCCCCUAUCGGUACACAACUAAUCACCAUAUGUGCACCACUUGAGGCCCAAACCUAAAAUCCAUGUUUUCCACCAUUUUAUUUAUCAAAAUCACAAGUAUUAAAGUUUUGUCCAGAUUAAUUAAAAAUCAAUUUUCAUGUUUGAAAUGAGCCCAUAAUGACAAGGAAGACCAUUCUAAGCAUGGCUAAGCUUUAUAGUAACCUAGUGUCACCAAAACUCAUAUAUAAAGUGGUAUAGCCAUAUUGUUCCUAAGGUUAGGAAUGAGGAAUAUGGAUAUAUGUGGAGUUAAGGUGAUAAUGCAAAUAAUAGGAGUUUAUCUAACAAGUUUAACAAAAUUUUAAUUUAUUAGUGUACAAUCGACAUGCAAGAUUUGCAAACAUUUUCAAUAACCUCCAAAAGAUAGGUUCAAAGUGAUCAAAGAGAGGGAGGUGGGACUUGCCUUGAAUCAGGAAAAUGUCAGCACCUAAAUCACUUCUUCACCGAUUAAGCAAUCAUCUAUACAAAGUAUACGUUAUGCAAUUAAACACCGAAAUAUGCGAAAAAUCCAAAAUGUUCUAAAAUGCAUGAUUUGUGCACAGAGAUCAGGUACUGGUAUAAAAUGAAUUUAGGUGAAAGAAUUUCUAUUUUAUCUCAUUUUAUUUGGGAGUUAUGAAUUUUAGAAGUUUCGUCGGUAUAGUGUAGGAUUUACUUAGUUACUAUUGUGAAAUGCUGUUGUAAGGUGAUUCUUAUUAAGUUUAUGUUUUCUGGGGUGAAGAUAUUUGUUUUCUAAGACUAACACAUUUGGUUUCAUAAUUUUUAGAGUUAAUAUGAAUUAUUUAUGUAUUUUACAAGUUUUAACGUGUUCUAGGCAUAUAGUCCCUAUGUGUACAUGGCUUUGGAGAUUUAGGUCCAGAACUUGCUCUAACUUGCUAGUGUUGUAUAAAAUGAGUAUUUUAGUUAACUAAUCUAAUCUUAGUUUAUAAAAUUUUAGUGUUCAAAUUACUUUACUUCACAUUUUAUAAGCUAGGGGAUGUUCUAUGUUAGAAACUUAAGAUAUCAAUCUGGAGAUUAUUAUAUGAGUUAAGGAUACUAAGUUUUGGUGGAAGGGGAUGGAUCUAUGCCUUCACUGGUUCAACAAGUUUUAUUUGGAUUUAUUUGGAGCUACCAAGCAUAUAUAUACUUUUUCAUAUGUAUUGUUUAACCACUACUAUGUGUUUAGUACCUAUUCUACCAAAUUAAGGUUCAGAGCCAUGGUCUGUAAGAGGGUGCUAUAAUUCACUCUACUAGGUUGAAGUAUAUUACUUACUGGUUCUAUAGAAAAUUUGGUUCACUUCAUUUAGACUAUAGAUGAAUUUUCUACAAAUGUUACAAUUUAAGGUAUGCUCCAUGUUGCUUAUAACUUACUUAAAUACUUAGGGGUUUUCAUUAUACUGUAAGUAUGUCUUUUUAUUUUAUAACAUUGAAGUGCACAACCCUAUGAUUCUACUGAAUUUGGGUUUACUCAAAAAGGAUCUAAGAUGAAUUUUAUAUAAACUUCUAAAGUUCAGCUUAUGUAAAACUAGUCAUUUUAAAGGUAAUAGUUUUAGAGGCAUUCGAUGUAUAGUAUGUAUACUAUUUCAUUUUGCUUUAUAGGAGAACAUAAGUUGGUGGAUCUGUAGAAACUGAGUUUGCUCCAAAAUGAGUUGAAAUGAAUUUUGUAUGCAUUUUAUAAAUUUGUGCAUGCUUUAUGUGUGAUUUAACUUGGAUAAAUUUUAGAGGCUAAAUUUGUACUGUGAGUGCAAGUUUUUAUUCCAUAACACUAAAGUUCACAAUUUGGUGAGUUGACAGAAAUUUGUAUCAUCUUAAAAUGAGCUAUAUUUAAUUUUAUAUGGAUUUUACAAGUUUUAGGUACUUUCCUUUUAUAAUUUCAGAUUUUUGUUUCCAAGGGGUCCACUGUCAGUGAAAGAUCAAUAUACAAAAAGAUCCCUGAGGUUUCUAAGAAUCAACCCGCAGACCUAGCCUCAUAUGUCAGUGAGUUGAAAAGUUGCACAUUAAUCCUUAUAGUUGUUUAAAUUCUCGAAACAAGGUCCCUGACUUCUUUUCUCAUGCACAGAGGCAGAACAGCCAUGGCUGAGCUCGAUCUCGAGCUCACCGGCGACAAACGAUGGCUCGUUUGGGGGUGCAACCAAAAUACAAAAUGAAGAUCAUGUUAUUGCGAUUCCAUUCCUCUACUUUUCUCGGUCAGUGGACAUCGGAGUAACGCCGGCGGCGAGUCCGAAAGGAGGAUGUUUUCGGGGGGUGAUGCAUGUGCUUCUACAAUCAUGUAUUGGUUAAUUGGGUGCAUACAUGUAUGUUCUACAGGCUGAAGGAUGCUCACCGAGAUGCUAGACAUGGCUGGGGUAGCUAGGUUGAUGACGGCGGCUCGUGUAACGGCUCGGCGGCGGCAAGAACCUCCGGGUGAACGGCGAUGGCUCAAUCAGCUCCAAGAACUAUCAUGCAUGUGUGUCCAUGAGGUUAGAGAGGCCCCAGAGAUGCUACUGAUGCAUGGAAUUGGGUUGGUACUCACCGGAGGGGGUGGAUUCGGCAACGGCGACGGUGACCGGAGGUGGAGAAGACGGUGGACGAUCUCCACACUCGUAGCACCAUCCUUCGAGAUUCUUGAGGGGAAAUGGAGAGGAGGUUGAGGCGAAGACGCUGGCGCGACAGCUUGGCCCGGCUUGGUCCAGAUAAGCGGGAACGGCGAUGAUGUCACUGCGGCGGUGCACAGAGCGCGCUCUAGAGCGACCAUGACAUGGCGGCGUUCCCGCUGCUGUAGAAGAUGAAAUGGAAUGGGAUCAAAACCAAAGUUGUUCGUCAUGGUGAGAUGAGAAUGGAACGAGUAUGAGUUAGAGAUGAAGAGGGCUCGACGACGGUUGGCGAUGUCCCUCUUCUUGGCGGCCGGCGACGAAAGAGAGGUGGAGAGGGAGAGCUGGAGCUUCCUCCCUCGGUUGGAUCGGUACUGGGAUGGUGGGUGAAGAAUGGUGACGCAGAUGGGUGGAGGUGAAGCCUCGGUUCGGCGCUGCCACGUCGAGGCCACGCGUCGUACACAGCCGGCGCCAAUCUCUCUCUCUCGGCUGUCUCUGGUCGGCUGCAAGAUUUGCACAGGGUGAGGACGAGCCAGAGUGGCUGCCAAGUGGGUCCAGGUCGUGGCAAACUAAGCUAGGGUGAGAGGGUUGGGCAGAAACGUGGGUGAACAAAAGGUUUGAAUGAUUUUAAGGAUUAUUUCUCUCUCCCACUUUAGUAUUUCAAUUAUUUAAUUUGUGGGUAGAAUAAUUUAGUGUGGAUUUUUCUGAAGGUAGAUGAAGAUACCUAGAUUCCAUUUUCUUUGGUUGCACUCAAAAAUUAUGGAUAGAUUACUCACAGAAAUUAGAGGAAUAUGGGUUCUUUGGAAACUAGUUCGAAUUUUUAGGAGACCUAAACAGAGAAGAUAAAUUCUGGAAAAAUUAUUUUUAUUCAUGAUAAAUUACCUAGCAUUUGAAUAAAUUAUUUUACUUAUACACUUUUAUGCAGUUAAAUUCACUUUUAGACAAAGUAUGGUUUUAGCCGAUUAAGAACUACAGUUAAUCUAGUUUUUAUUAGUUUGACUGAUUUAUUUGAGGUACCAAAUUUAGUUAUUAAAUUAUACCAAAAUUACAGUGAGUUGUAUGUGUUGAUUAGAGCCUACAUGAAUUUUCCCAUGAUUUUAUCUUGCUCGCAGGACUUAUGUCUUAUAUGUGUUUCCCUUUCCUAAAUGCAUGUAAAUGUUUAUAAAAGUUAUAUUUGGACUCUCAUUAACAUGAGGUGAUGUUGAUAUGUUAGAAUUACAGUUUACCUUACACAUGUCAUAAGCUCCUUCCCUAUUUAUGCAUAAGUUUACUUUAGUAUUAAAUUAAGAGAAUGCUUAUAGAGAUGAUUAAGAUAGAAUAUACCCUAUAUGAUAUAAUUUAUUUGUUCACUUUCAUGUUCAUGACAUGUCUUCAGAUGGAUGUCCAAAUUAGUUUUGUGAGGCUUGACAUUAGCCAUGUUGAUUUUUUUUUAAGGUGUAUGGUUUCUGUGUAUUAUUUUCCAUUAGUUAGCACUAGGCCCUAAUGGUUUAGUUGUUUGUCUAGAUUGCAAUUAUAUUCAUGAGACCUAUUAUGAAAUGCAAAUCGAAAAUCCAAAUGCAUAUGAAGGACUCAAGUCAAAAUAUGAUUUAUGCAAGUAUGCAUGCUUUCACUUGGGUUGCAUCCAAGUCCUAGGUUAAAGAUGAAAAAGUUUUUAAUUUGUUCUCAAAUUUUAUUCAUGCAAGAGUUGGAUCAACUCCACCUAGGUUUAAAAUGGAAAUUUUUGGUUUACAAAAUUGAAGAACUUCCCUUUCAACUAGUUUUGAUGGAAAUUCCUUAAUCCUAGAAUUCAGGUAUGUUACACGGGCGCGGCGGGCAGGCAAGCGCGCGGGAAAGAAGCUACGCGGCGGGUGGCGGCAGGCAAAGCGGGCAUGGUGGCAAGCGGAGUUGGCGCGGCGAGCGGGCGAGCGCGUGGGGAAGAAUCUAUGCGGGGGGCGGAGGCCGGCUCCCCUCGUGACUUCGUGGGCGUCCAUACCUCCGCCGCCGAUGUCCCUCCACCAUCGCCGAUGUUGUGCUCGUCUUGCAUGGAGAUCCCCUCGCGACUUCGCGGCGGCGGGCAAGUACGGUGGGCGAGCAUGCCGGCGGGCAGAGCAACCCCGUCCUCAUCGUGCUCCUCCCCUUCGUCGGAAGCGAGAGCAGCAGCGAGGCAUCAGGCGGAAAACGAGCACGGUUGCGGGCUCGCUGAGAUGAAGGCGGCGGCGGCGGGCGCGCUGGUGGAGAAGGCGCGAGAGAAUCAUCUUUGUACCACCGGGCAAUGACGCCGGCGCUAGCACCGAUAUGCCUCCUCUCUCUCUCUCUCCCUCCUUCCCUCCCUCCCUCCCUCCUCCGGUCUCUCAUUGUCGCUUUGCCUCUCCCGACUCCCCCGCCGCUCCGCCCACCGCGCUUGCCCGCCUCCGCUCUGCCUGCCGCCACUCCGCUUCCGCGCGGGCCUACCACUACGCUCGCCCGUGACCCACCCAUCGCCGCUCCGCCUACCUGCCACCGGCCUCCCUCACUUAAGAAGAGAAUAGAGAAGAGAGAAAAGAAAAGACAAGAAGAAGAAAAGAGAAGGAAAAAAAAAGUGCAACUGACAUGUGGGCCCCACGUAUUUUUUUUAAAAAGUUUUGCUGACUAGGAUGCCACAUCAACAAAUCCACCCAUAUAUACUGCCAUAGGACCUUGAGUGCACGGUUUGUGUGAGUUCAGAGGUAUACAUUUCUGAUUUUGUGGUUAAGGGACCUCAAAAAAUAUGGCUGUUAAGUUGAGGGACCUCUGGUGAACUUAUUCCGGACAUAUAUGUCCAGAUCCAUAGUACUAUAAUAUGUCACAUCCCGUACUAGUUUGCUAUAUUUUGUGAUGGAUGAUGUAUUUGAGAGAUAGAUCAUAUCGGCCGAUGAUGUAUGAACGCCGAUGGGCACCAUAGUCCCUUUUAUGGACGAAGCUAGUAGCUGAUACUCUCCUUUUAGAUUAUUUAUCAUUCUAGGAUUGGACUUAAGUCAAGUAUUUCCACGCCUAUAUAUAACGUGUUUAUAUGACUAGGUCCCACCCUAACUCAGCUGGAUUGACUGCAGUCAACUCGCCACCUGAGCUGAAACCAGGCACAAUACUAUCCUGGAUCUCGGGUACUUCGCUAUUGUAAAUUGAUGAACACGUUAUAUUAGUAUUACAGUUCAAAAAUUAAAGUACGCGAUUCAAACACGACAUCAAGGCAAGAAAUCUAAAGUAACCUUAUUUCAUAACAAAAUUUGGCCCAAUUACUCGCUUGGGGCAAUAAGCUAGACCAACAAACUAGGAAGAAGAAAAUCAGACAACAGUAUUGCAAACAGCUUCCACCACCUCUUAUGCUGUAGCAUGCUUGUAAAGUAAAGACAAAUCUAGGGUUGAUCCAGCCUUCAUGCUCUAUUAGGAUACAAAUCUACAUGCUCCGCUAAGAUAUGUUGGUUACUUUCAUGUCCGAUCGCUUAAACGUUGUUUUUUUUUACCAAGGCGCCGAAGGAGCUUCAGAAAACAUACUAAAUACAAUGCAAUCAGAGACCUCAUUUGUGCCAAUCAAACAAUACAAGUGAACUCUUCAUCUAAAUAAAUCCUUAUCCAUAACCAAAAAUCAUCUUCUUUCAUGAUCCAAAGAAGAUGGGCUUACCAAGGUAGUGAAGUAUUCAUCAUCCUCGACUAACUCAAAACCUUCUCAUAGUGUGUAAAUGAAUUCCCUAACGUAGAAAAAUCUCCCAAAUAACAUGUCACAAAGGUAUGGUAGGUGUGGCUUAACAAGGGUUAAUUAGAUUUAUGCCAUUACAAAUUUCACGAUUAAAAUAUACCAUCACUAUUCACAUAUUUGUAACCAUGCAAUCACAAUUUCACAGUUAUUUGAUACAUACCACUACUUACCCUUUCAUCUUAUUUUUCAAAAGUUUUAGACCAAAAUGCCCAUGUCUUCUUCCUUCAUCCCCUCCUCUCUCUCCUGUUCAUCUCAUCUGUUCAGAUCUAGCCUAGCCUUAACCGAUGCGCAUCCUUGCCGGCGGCGGAGAUAGUUUGGGCGGCGCCCUCACCGACGUUAAGGACCACCACAGCAACGAGCGCCUUCAACGCAUGUUCUAGCAGGAGUUCGACACGCAUGUUGUGGAAGAAUAUACGCUCUUUUGUUUUUUUCAUUUUUAUUCAUAACGUUCUUGGUUUUCUUCAUCAUCAAUUGAGAAGGUUACGCAAAAAAAAAAGAGAUACAAAAUUCAUGUGUGCGCACGUGAUGAAUAAUUUAUGCUAUGUCAUUGUUACAUGCAUGUUUCGGUAAAACAUACAACAAAUAAAUUCUCUUUUAUUUGAAAGAACUAGUCGGUCGGGAUAUUAUUUCAGCUUAAGAAACACAACGUUGUCCCUCAAAUUGUCGCACAAGCAGGAUGACCGUUGCUUGUGCUAUCUCGGGGUCAGAUCUGAGACAAGGAAGAAUAUGAACAGGAGAGAGAGGAGAAAAGGUGAUGAGGGAAGAAGAAGGGCAAUUUGAUCCAAAAAUUAAAAAAAAAAUAGAUGAAAGGGUAAGUAGUGGCAUGUAUCAACUAACUAUGAAAUUGUGAUGGCAUGGAUAUAAAUAUGUAAAUAGUAAUGGUAUAUUUCAAAACCAUGAAAGUUGCAAUGGCACGGGUUUAAAUAUUACAUUCACUAGUUGUAAGUUAAGCAUGGAACAGUCACAUGUCUCAGCAUCUGCCACUAAGAAAGUUUGUCUCAACAUCUGCCACUAUGAAAGUUCGUUGUUAAGGACAGUCCAUCUAUAAACUUUAAUUUUUCGAAUUUAUGUAUCUAAACAUUUACAAUUCUUCUUAUUCUUAAUCCAUACAUACGGCAGGGUAUGACCUAUACGAACAAUAAGACGACCAAUCAAGAAAACCAUAGUUAAAAACUAAUUUUUUAACUUUUAAUUUGUUGGGUUGGACGACAAGUUCGGUUAUAUAAUGCUGAAUUAUAAAAUUAAAAUUCUACCAUUGAACAUUCUAAUAGGAAAUGAUGACAAUGUCAUUAAUAAAAGUGAGCAAAUUCAAUCAUUUUUAUAUUUGCUUUUCAAUGAGAUAUAUCCUAAAUGGCAAUAUCCUAACAUUGCGGAGUUCAUCACUCUGAUGCGCAAGACACAACGUAAGCUCAAAUGUUAUAUAUAUUUAAUAAAUCACUUUUAAAAUUUAAGAAUGAGAGCCUAUGCAUCGUUGGAAAUUCUACCAUUAAACAUUCAAAGGAAAUGAUGACAAGGUUGUUCAUAGUAGUGAGCAAAUGUAAUUAUUUUUAUAUUUGCUUUUCAAUGAGAUGUAUCCUAAAUGGCAAGAUCCUAACCUUGCGGAGUUUAUCACUCUAAUGCGCAAGAUAUAACAUAAGUUCAAAUGUUAUAUAUAUUUAAUAAAUAACUUUUUAAUAUUUGAGAAUGAGACCCUAUCCGUCAUUGAAAGGGGUGGUGGCAGUGAAUGUCUUUCUUUUGAAGUGGUAAAAGUUUACAUAUACAUAUAUCAAUAGCUAAACGUUUUAUAUGUAUUGCAGGAUUGAUCAGUUGCUUUCAUUUCUCUUAUCGCCUCUAAAUAUAUAUCUUAUAGAAAAUUAUAACUCAAACAUAUAGAAAAGGCAUCUAAAGGAUAUUAUUUUUUCUAGAUAAUAUAGUUCAUUGCAUGUUGCGUUUUUUUGUUACAACUAUAUAGGAUAUAUAGUUCUAGUUGAUGCGGCUUAAUAUAUGUUGAGUUUUAUAGUAAUGACUAUAUUAAGUGCGUUAUAAAUGCAAAUGACAUAUCAAUGAUUAUGAUCAAAACAUAAGAAAGAUCUAAAUAUUAUUAUUUUCUAUAUUAUGACUCACUGCAUAUUGAGCUUUCGAUUAUAACUAUAUAAAUAGGAUAUAUCGAUAAUACUCACAAUAGCACAUCAUAUCUUCAAAGCAGGUUGUGGAGAACAAUCCUAUUUAUAUUUCUAUAAAAGUGUACGGAUGUGUGCCAAGUGGAAAAUAUCCAAAUCCCCCCUCCCCCCUCCUUAAAAAAUCUACUUUAGAGUUUUUAAUGCUCAUGAGUUAUAUCCCUAUUUAGAUACUUUUUUAUCCUGGUAAAGGGAUUUCUUCUAGGACCUCUUUAAGGAAUACCUACCUUUUUUCCUUCACCAUGUCUAGAAUCAUCCUAGAGAAAUAAUAUUGACAAUUCAACAUAUCUCUGAACCUUUCCUCUUGCUUGCCUUACUUUGAGACUUUGAGUAGUCUGCAUGCUCUGGACUAUUGAAUAGAUCAAUGUGGAAAGUGGCGAGACGGGGAAGCGGCGGCGGUGUGGAUACGGGGUCCUGCGGCGGCGGUGAGGUGGGGAGGUGGCGGCGAGGUGGAUCUGGCGUCCCACGCGGAGCUGCCAUCGCGUGGCAGCCUCUGCACCAGCGCAGCAGCUGAGGACAGCCAGUGGCGGCCAUGAGCAGAGGUGGACCCUCGUCGUCGUCUGCUCGUGGUGUAUGGCUCAUGGCAGCAGGUUUGAGGAGGACGGUUGGCCAUCUCCUUUGAUGCUGGCCAGGCAACCCCCUCUCUGUGGACAUCCUUCCCUCCUCAGUGGGGAGCUCCAUAGGUGGAUGGAGGUAGUGGCUUGACGACAUGGGAUGGCUUAGGUCACCGAAGCGGCGUGGCCCAACUCCGGGCUCUCCUUGGCCGGAUUCGACAAGGAGGCUGGUGGGUAGCAGAGUGGAGGAGACCUAAGACAACACAUAGGGAAGUUGGUGGCGGGGUAGAGAAUGCUGGCGGCGGGCAGGGACGUCUCCCUUGAUGUCGGUCGGGUGUCGUCUCGACUUGUGGAGCAUCUCCCGUUCUCUAUGGGAUGUUCUAUAGGUAGGUGGGGGUAACGGUAUGUCAAUAGGGGAAGGCUUGGGCUGCCGAAGCUACAUCGUCCAUUACCGGGCUUUUUGCCGGAUUCGGAGCUGAGGUCGGUGGAUGGCAGAGCGAAGGAAGCUAGCUCAGCGUUGCGGGGGAGUGACAACUGGUAAAAGGCGCUGGCGGUGAGGCGAAGUGGCCAGUCUUGAUGUCGGUCGGCGGUGAGGAGCCGGACCGGUACGGCGGAGGACACACGCUACCGAAUACCAAUGUUGGGCUGGUGGUAUUAGAUCUGGCAGGCGACAGACCACAGAAACGGGGUGAAGAGGAUCCCAGGCGAAAGCCUAGCCUAGCGCUUGAUUGGGCUGGCAGUAGCUACGCCUUUGGACGCGGUAACCCUCUUGAGGGUGUUGCCGAGGUACCCUCCUUCCUCGACGGGGGUCUCUAGGUGAAAACCGUGUCCAAUUUCUUUGGACGGAUGAUGACUGCGUCUUUUGGCAUCGCAACCUUCAUGGGGGCGUUGUUUUUUUGGACUAUCAUUCUAUGGUGUUGCUGUAAGCCUGGCGGCGACCGGCAUGCAUAGCGGUGGUCGGUCCGUCGUUCGGCCCUCCUCUCUAUAGCUUGUGUUUGUGCGGUUGGCGUGUGGUGUCGGGGCGUGUGCUUUGGUGCACUUUCUUUCUCGAGAGCUAGCUGUUGAUGAAAAACUUUGUUGAGACUUUUUUUCUUCUAUCUUUAUAACAUUUGGAUGACUUCCUUCACUCACCCCGACAAAAAAAACAUGGAUAUGUAUAUCCUAUAGAAUUUCUGGCUUCAGGUUUUUUUUAACGAAUUUCAGGCUUCAGCCGUGCUCCAAGUCAUCGUAUGAAGUAUGAAACUUCAGCCAUCAUUUAACAGUUAACAUUUUUGUGCCAAAUAUUAACUAUAUCUCUAUCUCUACUAUUAUAAAAAUUAAAGAUGUUUUUGCCAUAAUUUUGAUACGUUAUCUGUAUUUGAAUCGGUUUUAAUUUUGUGUUUCGACUUUAAUCUAUAUAUAGAAAAAAAAUAAGUCCGACUCAAAAAAGGUUAAAAAAAAGAAAGGAAAAACGUCCAAAUUAACGAGCGAUAAAAAAAAGCUUCCAUCUAUCUAUUAUAUUAUAUUAUUAAAACAGCCUUGAAAGGAGGCACCACGUUCGCUGUGGGGGCUAGAAAUUCCCACAUUAAUCGAAGAAAAAGAGAAAAAUCUACACCGUUAGAUCGUAGUGGAUCUAAAUUAUAACGGUAUAGAUUGAUAGCUAUAUAUAUGUAGUACAAUUGUAGUUUUUAAAUUAUAAUAAGUUGUGGAUGAAAUAUAGCAAUCUACUACUCAUAUUUGGAAUCAGGCAUAUUAGAAUCGGCUUUUUUUCUUUGAUGAAACCGUUAAGGAGUAGGAUUAGGAUUGCAGCCGCACGAAUUUUUUCUUUUCUUUAAUGAAACCGUUACGGGGUAGAAUUGCAGCUGCCCAGGAGCCAAGUGCCGACCGGCCCUUCAUACUCUGUCUGGCUGCACGGCUCUUGUGCUUAGAAUUCUAGAUUUACUGUGAAAAGCAUAGGCUCAUGGUAAACUGACACACGAACCCCAUAUGAGAUUAAUUAAUUUUCAGAAAAAAAUAAAAUCUGAAAUUAGCAAAAAAAGGAAAAGAAGAGUUUGAGUAGAAAUACAAUUUAAAAAUAACUAAAAUUCGAAAUUAAAAUUAUGCAAUAUUGGAAGAAGAGUCUAUAUAAAAACCCAAUACGAAAAUAUUAAAAUUCAGAAUAAAACAAUAGAAAUUAUAAAAAAAAGAAAAGAAGAGUUCAAGUAGGAAUACAAUUUAAAAUUAACUGAAAUUCGGAAUUAAAUAUAAGCAAUAUUGAAAUAAGAGUACAUAUAAGAACCCAAUAAUACUAAUUAAGAUUCGGAAUGAAAAAUAGAAUAAAAUCCAAAAUUGGACAAAUUAAAAAGAGAGUUCAAGCAGGAAUACAAUACGAUAUUAGUUAAAUUUCGAAAUAAAAAAUAAAAUAAACUCUGAAAUUAUAAAAAUUAAAAUAAGAUUUAAACUAGGAUACAAUUUAUAAAUAAUUAAAAUUGGUGAUAAAAAAAUAAAGACCAUCUAAAACACAUGACGGGAUUAAUUGAGUAACAGGCCUAUAAAAUAGUAGAGCGGUGGCGGUUGAUGGGAUAUCUAAAAUCUAUUAAUAAAACACUAAAUAGAAUGAUAACGGGCAUGUCAUGAAGCAACCGGUACAGGCGGUUGGUGGGACUUCGGAAAGUAAAAAAAAACAAUGAUAACCAUAUUUGAUUUUUAAAAUCUCAAUGAUAAUAAAAAGGAGAGGCGGCGGGAGGGUCGUACAGGAGUACAAUGGCAGAGCGGACGAUGGUUGGUGGGACUUCUAGAAAGUAAAAAAAUGAAUUCCAACGAUAAUUAUGUUCGAUUUUUAGAAUCCCAAUGGUAAUAAAGAGUAGGCAGCGGACGGGUCGUAGAGGAGUAUAGUGGCAGCGUUUGACGAGAUUUCUAAAAAUUAUAAAAAAUGGAAUCCAACGAGACAAUAAAUUAUAAAAACUAUAAGGUCCAAAUUUAAAAGGUUCGGGCUUCUGAAAAGUAAAAAAAAUAAUGAUAAAAUCUCAGUGAGAGUAAAGAAGGGAGGCAGCGGGCGAGCCGUAUUGGAGUACAGUGACAAAGUCGCUGACGUUUUGGUGGAACUUCCAAAAAGUAAAAAAAAAGAACCUAAACGAUAAUUAUGUUUGAUUUUUAAAAUACCAAUGACAAUAAAGAGAAGAGGUAGUGGAUGGGCCGUAGAGGAGUAUAAUGGCAACGUUUGAUGGGACUUUUACAAAUUAUAAAAACGAAACCCGGCGGGACAAUAAACUCUAAAAACUAUAUGAUCCAAUUUUUAAAUGUUCCAAGAAGAAUUAAUAGAAACAGUGGUAGAUCGAGGAAGCAAAUAAAGAAAGAUAUGACAUAAUUAAGGGGUAUCAACUGGCGUGUGACUUUUAAAAACUAUAAAAUUAAAAACACAAUGAUGAUAAGGUUUGGUCCAACGAGAUAAUUAUUUAAUAAAUUUUAAGUAAAAUUAUAUUAAAAAUAUAUAAUUUUGUAUGGGUGCUAGCCGCGCAAUUGCGCGGGUCACCCAGCUAGUUGUCAGUAAAAAAAAGAAAAAAACAUCUCGUCGUAAAAAAAAUAGUCCGACUCCAGUAGAGAAAGGGAAAAAAAUCUCCCAGUAAAAUAAACAAAAAAAAGUCGGUUUGGUUUUUUUGCACCGGUAUUUUUUCCCCUUUUUUCUUUGCACGCAAAAGAGUUUUUUAUGCGCACACGGUAAGUCUUUUGGUUUUUUGUCCGGCUUUUUUUAAUCCGAUCUGUUCAUCGCGUGCCUCUCGGGCACUUUUGGUUUUUUUUCGUCAAUCUUUUUUGUCGCUGGUUUUUUCUCCUGUGCACUUUUUGUUUUUCUCAUCCGGUUUUUUAAUCCCAUCUGUUUGCCGCACGCCUCCCUAGGUGAACCCUAGCGCCGCGCCGCCGCCAUAUCGAUCAUGCAUUUUCUCCUCCAAUUUGAUUACAAAAUCGAUUCCCCACUCCUCUCUCAUCAUUUCUCCAUGAUUUUCCCUUUGAUUCAGUGCCAGAUUUAAUCUCUGUUUUACCGUUGCCGAUGAUGACGGCAAUCUUCCCCGGUCAUUUUUAUCCCGAGUUUUACGCUCUGAUCUUGGGGAAGACAGAAAGAGUAGAUCGAGUGGAUCAAAAACCCUCGACCAAUUUGACUGGUCGAGAAAGAUUCUGCCAGAUUUGAUGGGGAUAUUUGCUCUGGCUACCGUACGGGCACGGGAUUAUCUUCGGGAGGUUGAAGAUGGUAAUCAUCUUCCCAGACACGGGACUAUCUUUGGGAGGUUGAAGAUGGUAAUCAUAUUUGGGAGGUGAAAGAUGGUAGUCAUAUUCGGGAUGUUGAAGAUGGUAGUCGGCUGUGUGAGUUGGGUUUACGGCUCUACUUAUGGCUGGGUCGAAGAGAAGCAGACCAAAUGGAGAGAGGUAGCGGACUAGCCUAGGGCUGAAAAGGAAGGAAGGCUUUCGGACGAAAAUCCAGGAAAUAUUUUCAUUAACUUUUUUAAUUAUAAUCUACAGCGAUCCCAAUAUUAAGAUUUUUAUUAACUUUUUCAAUUAUAGUGUAUGUUGAUCAUAAUAUUUCAAUUUAUUGCUCAGCUCUUAAUAUAUCACUGAAAAAACGUCUUUACCCAUUGCAACGCACGGGUAUUUUUUUUAUUUUUUCUAGUCAAUUAUUAUGUCUACUACUCUUGGUAAAUAAUCCCUAUCUACCUUCUAUUGUGUUGCUAAGCCACCUAUAACAUUUUGGUUGCUAAACAACUUCUACUACGGGAGGUUUGGGCCUAGGCCCGUUUUCCCUUUUUUUGGUGGGGGCACUUCUUUUUCUUGACAGGCAAUGUGGACCUUAUGGACCAAAUGGGUGUUGCGUUUUUUUUAAAAAAAAAAACUUGCUUUCUAAUUCAUCCCAAAUUCAUAUGCAUAAAAGCUUCAAACAAAUAUAUAGUUCAUGGGUAAUUUUAUCAUCUUUGAGAAAGUACUGAAAGGUAUCACAUUUUCUAAUGUAAAAUUUGGUACAUCUAGAUACAAAAUAUCUUGAUGCACCAAAAAUUUUAAUAUAAAAUUUAGGUACCUCGAGGUAUUUUUCUCAAGUACUAUAAAAUUGCUAUGUUUCUAUAUCAAUUUUUUUAUACGGUAAGUUUCUAGGUAGAUAGUUCACGUAGAAAGUUUCUAUGCCUAGGUGGGUUUGUCUUUCUUUUCUUUUAUUGAACUUGCCUUUUGAACUUAUUUUAAAUUAACGUUCAUAAAAUUCUCUACUGCGGAUAUUUCUAUGUAGAAACUUUUGAGUCAAUAAGAAGGAACACAUCCCGAAGUGGAAAAAAGGACCUUAAGGCCCUGGUCGAUUAAUCCCAAAGGAAAAGGGAUGAGAGAGGAUUUAUUCCACAUAUAUUAUGAUGUGGAAUUAUUCUCAUUUAAUCUCCUCCAAACAAGAUCUAGGGACUAAACUUUAAUUCAUGUCACAUCAGAUGUUUGAACAUUAAUUUAGACUAUUAAACAUAGACUAUUUACAAAACUAAUUGCAUAAAUAAGAGCUUAUCUACGAAACAAAUUUUUUAAGCCUAAUUAAUCCAUAAUAAGGGAAUGCCUACUGGCAUCACAUAGACUAAUCAUGGAUUAAUUAGAUUCAAUAUAUUCGUCUCGUGAAUUAGUCCAAGGUUAUGGAAUAGGUUUUGUCAUUAUUCUACGUUUAAUAUUUCUAAUUAGUGUCCAAACAUCCGAUGUGACAGGAAAAAAAAAAUUUUUAGCCCCAUCAAAACUCGCCCAAGAGAAAACGAACGUGGACUCGAUGCACGUGUGGAGUGAACCUGUCGGAAUGCGUUUUUGCGUGGACUGAAAACGCACCCACGCUCACCCGCACCAUUAGACGCGCACCCCCAACAAUUCACAUCAUGGCUCGCUUGUCCAUGCCCAUACACGUUGAAAGCCACCAGCUCGUCCACCGUGGCAAUAUCCUCUAAAAUUGCUCAACGUGAACUUGCCACAGGUGAGGUGAGCAUGCGCGCGCCACGGCCGCGGCGGUGGCCGGCCGACGGCGACACGUUGUGCUAGAUGAGGUGGUGCAUGACAUCCACGGCUUCAACAGUUCAACUUCCGGAGUUGAACUGUGCAAAAAAUCCGACUCAGGAAUGCAGGAUUGUCCAAGCACACACAAACAAUCUCCAAAAAUCCAAAUGAAUCGGUCGCAUUUCAACUAAUUAAGGCUGCGUCUAGUUGGAUCCAAAGUUUGGAUUUUGAUUAAAAUUGGAGAUGACGUGACUGAAAAGUUAUGUGUGUAUGGCAGGUUGAUGUGAUGGAAAAUGACUGAAGUUUAGAUCCAAACACAGCCUAAACUGUUUUGACUUGAAUUUUCGACGAGUGUCCUGCAUGCACAUGCGUGAACACCUCAGUUGGAGUUGGGUCACUCCGAUUGAACCAGCAAUUGGGGCCAAGUGGCCAACGUUGAUUGCAUCAGUGGGCACACGAUGACUUCGUUGCUUCUACUGUGCAGCGAGUGAUAUAUAUGCGCGUGAUAUAUAUGCGCGCGUGCGGCUGACUUCCUUGCUUCUACUGUGCAGCGAGUGAAUUAGAGCAGCUAGAAUAGUAGACUAUAUAAGAGCAGGUACAAUAGCAGGCUAUAAGCCAGCUGCAAACAUAUUUUAAGUAGAUAAAUGAUGAGAGAGAAGGGCAGCUGGCUACAGAUUUGUAGCCAGCUGCAGCACGGAUUCCAAGACGCAGUGUGUAUGACAGGUGGGACCAACUAUUAAUAGUGUAGUAUGUAACUAUUGUAUGAAUGAGCUAUUAGAUUGGCUACAGAUAAAUUGGAGCUAGUAGUUGGCUAUACUAUUGAACUUGCUCUAAGCCAACUAUAAACACAUAUCGAGGAGAGAUGAAAGAAAAGAAGAAAAACAGCAGCUAUAAGCACGGACUACAAGAAAUAAUGUGUGUAUGACAGGUGAGACCAUGUAUUAAUAGUGUAGUAUACGUUUAUGGAUAACUAUUGUACAGAUUGCUAAUUAAGUCGACUAUAGUUGAUUUGAAGCUAGUAAUUGGCUAUACUAUUAAACUUGCUCUUAAGCUGCAGCUGAGCUUUGUCACUGUCGCGCAUCUUAGCCGCACGCCGGAAUUCCAAACGAGUUGCAGCCACGCGCGUGCGACAAUACAUUGCGAUCUCGUCGUCGCCAUUGUCGAUCGAUCAGCCAGAGAGGUGGCCGAUAGUUGGCUGUGAAACAGUGAAAGUUGCAGCAAUUCUGGAAGCUAGCUGCUGCAGAGAGUCAAUCGGAGAGAAGACGACAGAAUAGUCGACGGUUGAGAAGAACGUUCAGAAAAGUUGCUUCCAUCUAUCUUUUCCUGCGAAGAAAUGAAAAUCUGAUGUGGAAAUUAGUUAGCAGCUAUAAUAUCGUCACGUGCACAUGAGUGGCCAGAGUCCAUCGUUUGUCCUAUAUGAAGUCAACCGUUGUCAAAUUUUGAAUUUCAAAUUUUAUUUCGAAGUUAAUUAACUUGGUGUCCUUUUUACCGUUGGUUUUUAAUCACUGGAAAUAUAUACUCCCUCCAUUUUUGUAAAGAAAAUCAUUUUGGACAGCGACACGAUCUCCAAAAUGCAACUUUGACUCCUUCUUUCUAUAAAAAUAUUAUUGAAAAGUGAUAUAUGUAUACUUUUAUGAAAAUAUUUUUCAAUACAAAUCUAUUCAUAUAAUUUUUACAUUUUCAAACUCAACAACUUAAGAGUUAUUCAUAAUUUAUAUUCCCAAUGUUUGACUUAAACACUGUCCUAAACAAUUUCCUUUACGAGUACGGAGGGAGUAUAUUGUAAAAGUUUUAACUACAAUUUUUUUAUUGCUAAUAAAUUGUUUUUGUUUAUAAUCUCAUCUUAUAGCCAACAAAUGAGGCCCGAGGAUAUAAGCUGUCAGCUGUCAUCACGAUCUUUUCUCUUAUAUAUGUUGUUAACUGCCGAUAAGAUUGACUCGUCACACCAUGGUGCAUGGUGAUCUACAGGAAAGAAGUUAUCAGGGAAAACUUGAUUGUCAUUUUGUCAGAGUUCCAGUCAAACUCAAAGCUACGAGCAUUCUGCCAUUUCGAGUCUUGGAAAGGCACAGGUUAGUGUAUCUACUCGCAUUUUGGAAAGUGGCAAGAAAAAUAUUUCAAAGAUCUAGAAGAGAGUUACUCCGUACCUUCAAAAGAUGAUCUAGAAACGAGCCAGUGAUCAGUGUUGGAAGAAAGAAAAAUGACAUACUAUAAUAAUCUUAUAAUUGAAAAAGAAACUCGAAUGAUGUUCAAUACUAAUAAACUAAUGAUAUUUUUAAUCAAUAAAACAACGAAAUACUAUUAACAUUAUUCACUUUAAAAAAUAAUCAAAAACAAAUUCCAUCCGGUUAUUGUUUUACCGAUAGUACGUGUGAACAUUUUGUUUUCUUUUUAGAAAAUAGAUUAAACCGGCCUCUAUUCAAAAUAGAUAUACACAACGAACGUGCGAACAAUUUAGCGAAUAUUCAGUAGUCCUUCAGAGAGAAUUGUCAGAGGUACGAACUGCUUAAUGGUGAUCGAAUCGACAAAUAAUGGAUUAAAGACAAUCAAUAAAGCGCGCCAUUCCCUAAAAAAGAAAAGACGAGAACUAGCAUGUAAGAGCAUGCCCAACAGCUACCCAAGAACCCUCCAGCGCGCGUGAGACAAAAACCAGAUGAUUGGGAAUGAAAUAUCGCUUCUUGGAAGUGGGGAUCGAUAUAUACGGAGAAGGGAACGAGAUAUUUUGGGAGCAGUCAUAGUGAAUCUGUUGGAUUCAAUUUUUGACCAAAAAUCCUAAAAUUUCAGGAUAGGGAAUGAAAAAGGGAAGCUAUUGGUAAUGCUCUAAGUACGUUCAAAUCAGCUAUAUUAAUUCAUAUGAUGUACAAGGGAUAUAUACUCACCAAUAACAUUUUCCACACGAUAUGUAGUCUAGUUAAUUAUUAUUAACUCUGUCUCAAAAUAUAAGAGAUUUGGUCCGUAUAAUUAGUUAAGAGAUGAGGUUGUAUUUUACAGAUAGUACGCGUGAACAUUUUGGGAGAAAAUGUUAUUAUUCUACCGAGAGUACGUGUGAACAUUUUUUGGGACAAUUUAGUUUCAGAGAGAAUUUUCAUAGGUACGAGUUGUUUGAUGGUGAUUGACUCGAUGAAUAAUCGAUUAAAGACAAGAACUAGCAGAUAAGUACGUAGCACAAAUCAGCGUACGCAUAAGGUGUUGUUUCUUAUACACUUGCACAGCUCGAAUAUAAACGAUUAAAUCCAUACAUCUUAGCACUCUAAUUAAUUGCUGAUACGAUGUUCCAAAAAAGAAAAAGAAAUUGCAGAUAUGAUUAUGUGUAGCUUUCGUCGUUGAAUAAUCAACACAAACUAGUCCAAAGGCAAUCUUACGUACGUCACAGGGGUUCAUGGUCAGUGGUCAGAGAAGACUAUGUAGCUUUGACUAAUUUACUCCAAUUAUGCUGCUCCUUGUUCUCUGUUCUCACUUUGCUUACAUCGGCAAAAUGCUAACCCACACGUAAUUAACAAUUUAACAUGCUUGCUGUGUCAAUCAAAAUUUUACUACUUGUGAAAGCCGUACAAUUAGUGUGUCAUUCUCCUGUAUAUAUUAUGGCCAUUGAUGGGUUAGGUUAGAACAGAAAUAGAUUAUAUACAAAUUAAACACUGCAUUUGUGUUUGUUUUCCAGGUAACCAUUAAUUUUCUAGAAAUUAACGUUGUAAAAUUUAUGUUUUUAAUCAGCCAUGAGAAAUACUUUCAUAGCAUCCAUAUAUUGUGAAAAAAUAUGAAUUUAUAGAUACUGACAGUCAAAAUUAAAAAUGUUUGACGAAAUACAAAACUAAAAUUACAAGCAAUUUAUAAAGCGGAGAGUCCUUUUUCUUUCUAUAAUAGUAUCAAAUCUUACAGUAUAAAAUGUAGUUUUCACGGAUUUAUGUAUUCCUACCUAAAAACAUGAAUGAGAUGAGGAUUAUUGGUGAGGAGCAGUCAAUGCACCAAAUCAGCCGCCACAUAGUUAAGUAUUACCACUACCAGUUGUAGUGCUAUAUGUAGCUUUCCAGUUGCCUGAUUUUACUGGAGAACUAAAAUAUUUUUAGAGGCAGUCUUGGACUCCGACAGGAUGCUUAAUCAUCGAGAUCAAGACAUGAUGGACCGGUACACAAUGUUAGAACUAAUUAAUCAUGCAUUUCGUGUUAAAUUAGUGCACAUGGGUCGAUCAGGAUCAGUAUUAGCCGCCGUAGAUUAGUACACUCUUUACCUACCGUCUUGGAAGUAUGUCCCUGCUACUCCCUCUUGGAAGUACGUUUUUAUGUCAAUAUAAAAAUAACAACAUUCAUACUACCAAAAUAUUUUCAGUGUCAGUUUUAAUGAAAUGAUUUGGUAUUGUAGAUAUUACCAAAUUUUUCUAUAAAUUUAAUCAAACUUAAGAAUUUUUUACUAUGAGAAAACAUCAAAUCGUCAAGCGAGUAGAAGACUAUUAGCUGAGUGGACAGGGGAAUCGAACCUCUGGUAUGUCCGACAUCCCGGAUAGAACAAAAAAGACUAUUAGCUCAUUUCUGAUACUAAGCACUAAUUUAUUUCCAUUUUCCUUUUCUUUUUGUUGGUUUAUGGUAUUCCGGUUGGAUUUGGAUCAGAUUCUUCAUCUAGAAACAGCAGUGUUGAGAGAUUUGACUUGGAGAGUCUUGGUCAAACUUAGUGCGUUGCAAAGUCUUCAUCCUCCCUACCAAUCCAAGGAUGGCUGCACAUCUGGACUUUCAAAGCAUUUCCGUACACACACAUAAUGCAAGAUCCCGAUCCACCUAAUGUAAGAGGACAGUACGUAAGAGGAUCCGGUUCCGUUACAAACAGGGCGUGAAUUCAACCGAGAAUUAUCACUGCUAUAAUCGAUUACAUUAUGGAUCUGUUUAGUUGGUGAAAUAAAAAUAUUUUAGUGUCACAUUGGAUGUUUGACCGGAUGUUGGAAGGAGUUUUCGAACACGAAUGAAAAAACUAAUUUCAUAACUCGCCUGGAAACCGUGAAACGAAUAUUUUGAGCAUAAUUAAGCCGUCAUUAGCAUAUGUAGGUUACUGUAGCACUUAUGGCUAAUCAUGGACUAAUUAGGCUCAAAAGAUUCGUCUCGUGAUUUACAUGCAAACUGUACAAUUAGUUUUUCUUUUUAUCUAUAUUUAAUGCUCCAUGCAUGUGUCAAAAGAUUCAAUGUGAUGUUUUUAUGAAAAGUUUUUAGGGAACUAAUCAAGGCCUAUAUUUACAAAUUACUACCUCCGUCCCAAAAUAAGUGUAGCCGUGGAUAUCCGUGCCCAACGUUUGAUCGUCCGUCUUAUUUAAAAAUUUUUUGAAAAAUUUGAAAAUAUUUAGUCACACAUAAAGUAUUAUUCAUGUUUUAUCAUCUAAUAGCAAUAAAAAUACUAAUCAUAAAAAAUUUUUAAAUAAAACAAAUGGUCAAACGUUAAACGUGAAUAUUAUAAAACUGCACUUAUUUUGAGACGGAGGGAGUACAUGUCCUGAUGGCAGGAUGGCAACAUAUGGACGACGAGCAACAUCACGUAUCAGCGUCGCGUGUCACCGCGGGCAGAGCAUAUAUGCUUGUGAUGCCCAUCGACGGAUGAUUGACAGACUCAUCAAGAUGGACACAGAAACCAGAAAAAGAAAAAUUCCCCCCGAAUCGCCUGAAUUUUACAGGAAAACAGUUCGUUUCCUUUUUAAAAAUCGUGAAAAAGGAAUACUAGUGAAAAAGGAGAACUGCAUAUGGCGCACACAACACGAGGGAAUACGCUUCUGCAGGAGAGAAUACGCUUUCCAGUCCAGCUCUCCCAUCAUCACGCUGAACAAGCUACCGGCCGCCGGCCGGCGGUUGGUCAGGCGGUGGCCGCCGUCAGUCUGGUCCGGCCAAGUGUCCAUGAUUCUGCAACGCGAGAAUGCAAGCCAGCUGUGGCGUCGCCUCGCGACAGACAGACAGGCCGACCGGCCGGAGAAUUAUUCCCUGGCGCCUGAAGCCUCCAACGCAUUCGGACGAUAAUCUGUUCUUAUUGUUUGUCUUAUGCUUAUACUUAUGCAUAUAAACCAAAAUUUUAAUUUUAGAAUUUUAAUUUUAAAUUUGAUUUUUGUUUUUCAUCGUAUUUUAUUUUACAAUGUUUUUUUCUCUUAAAUAUUCUUUUAUUUAUUUGUUAAUAAGCGAUUCGGAUAAGUAUAUGAAUAAGCGAAACAAUGGAGCUUCUAGAUGGCGUGACUGGUCGUGCAUGUCUUCUUCAAAAGUUGUACAGUGUUCCAUCCGUCCUAAAAUAUAGUUAAUUCUAAAAUUCAAAUUUUACCACAAAUAUAACAAUCUAAGAUAAACAAAAAAUAUUUUUUCACUAAACUGCCCACACAAGCAUACUACCUAUUGGUUUUAUUAUAGUCUUGAUCUACACCUAACACCUCACCAUCCCAAAAAGACGAACAAAUCUCUCUAUCCGUCUCCUUAAUAUAUGUCUAAUGUCUUCCUUUAAAAUUGCUACAUUUUAAAAUGAAGGUAAUAAUACAACAACUUGUAAAUAUAAAUUUAGAUAAGUAGUUCUCUAAACAUAUAGAUGUAGCUAUAGAAAUACUUAUAUUUUGGGAUGAAUGGAGUAGCAUAUAAACUUUGAAUUUUGAGAGUUGAUUUUAUGAUUCUUUUUUCAUCAUAGGAUAUUUUCUACUUAAUUUUCAAUUGAUAAUGACACAAAUAUAAACAUUUUAUCCUUAUAUCAUUUUUUAUCCGUUUAUGUUGCUAUGGCUGGGUCAUAGCAGGCAUGAUUGAUUUAUAUUAUAGUAUGGAUUAUUAUUACAGAUUAUCUACUUAAAUAUAGUGUCAAUUCAAAAUUAUAAAAAAUAAAUUUAAAAAAUAAAUCAAAAUAAAUUAUCUAAGCAAUAUCAAGUUCUUUUAAACAUGAAACAAAUAAUUCAACUUAAUAAUAUGUCGAAUAAACUAAAAAGAACAUGAAGUUUUGGUCGCUGAUAAUGGAAACUAUUUUAAUCCCGCGAGCUCGAGGGAUGUUCUCAUUAAUUUUAAAAAUGUCGAAAAAGUUACGAAAAUUUCUCAAAAAGUUUAACAGCACUCAUACAACAUAUAUAUUCCACCCUAGAAAAAUCUUAUGUCCAAAAUCGACUCGCACAUUUAGAUAUAAAAGAAGACAAAUUCAGUGUAUAAAUAAUAGUGUAUUAUUAUUUACGCGAAGUGAGUAUAGCUCAACUGGUUAGGUUCCUUGUGGUGGAACCAAACCACCUAGGUUCAAAUCCUAGAUUUCACACGGGUGCUCGCAUUUAUGGCUAAUUAUUCUUUCAGUGGUAGGCGACGUACCCGUCGACAGCGAGGCGCUUGUGGUGACUUCGUCAAUCUCAAGAUAUGCCGGCCUAGUCUUUCAGAGGUGCUCAUAGGGGUAGGGUGUGCGUGUGUGCGUUCAUAGGGGUGAGUGUGCGCACGUUGUGAGCGCUUGUGUUUGUACUGUGUUUCAAAAAAAUAGUGUAUUAUUUACACACGAAUUUGUAUCUUUUUUCUCAGUGUGUUGGUCGAAUUUGAUUUUGAUUUUUUUUAACUGAUAGAUGUCACUAUACUCUAUUUUUCUCGUUAUUUUUUCUAAAUCUUUUUAGAACUAUUUAUAUUAGAUUUUAAAAAAGAUACACGAUAGGACAUCAACUCGGAUUGGUUAUAGAAUUCCAUUCCUCGCUGACAGGUCAGCCAGAGUUGAGGCCAUGGCCAUUGUUGAGCAGCAGGAGAAUUUUCUGAUGGCUUAUUUGGUUUAGAGGAAUUUGAACUCAUAGGAAUGGAAAAAAGAGAGAAAUAGGAAGAUAUGCACAUAUCAAUCUAUAUGAAUUUUUCCAAAAGGUUUGAGUCGAUGAAAAUUCCCCUAUGUUAUCUUUUUACAACUUGGAGGGAAAGAAAUUUUAUUUUGAUUUUUCUAUACCUCAUCCCUACAAAUCUAAUGACAUUUGUAGAAAUUAAUUCUUAGGAAUCCAAAUUAUUUAUUUUUCCUUUAAACCCAAUAAGCCCUGAAUUUGUACGGAGCUGAACUGAGCUCCUGUGUUCCAUCAAUCGGGUUUAUGCUGUCGCACCGGAGUACCGGACACGCACAUUCUUCAGAUCAAAGCCUCCUCAAACUUUCCAAGAUUCUUCUUGUUUUCCCUUAAAAUAAAAAACCUUUCCAAGAUUCUCGGUGACGAAAGACGGUUCAAUCUUGAUAAAGCUUCCGUUCGACCAUCACACACAGCCUAACUGAAACUGUAGGUCUGUAGCUACCGUCCUGAUGCCCUUUCCUUUCCUCGUAUGGUAAGUUUUCCACAAGCUUUUCACGCAUUGGAUUCAUAAUUCCAGUGUAAUCCGGUUUUGUUCCGUGAAAUCCAAACUUUUCGGACCAGGUCGAAAACACGAAUCACUCGGUUUUUUUAGGCUAAGUUCAAAAAAAAUCAAACUAGAUUUUAAAUCUCCAACGGAAUUUUUCUGUAUUUUAUCGGUUUUUUCGACGGGUUUCGUAAAAUCCGAUGAUAUCGCUCGUGAACGGAUUUCGAUCCGGUAUCAAGAAUGUGAACUUCGGCGUCAUGAUCGGUCCGGCGUUCAGCUCACUGGCCACCGCCGUCGACGCGACUCCAUGGCCGCGCCAUGGGCGAUGAUGCUUUCCUCUUCUCCCUCUCUAUUUUUAGGCUUUGGAAGGCAAAGUGUGUGCAAAGUUGAGGUUGAUCCGGGCGUGACGUGCGUGCCAUGGCAUGACCAAAAACCACAUCCAGUCACGUGGCUCAAAAUGCACGGUUUUUUGCAGGCAGCAUGUGAGCGUGUCUGCCGGCGCUCUUUUGCUGUGUCCAAAUCCUAACGACACAGCCACCCGCGCUCGUGUGCAAACUUAGUUUUUGAUUCCUCCCCAAAGUUUGUUGCCUUAGCUACAAUAAUAAAUAUCCAGAAAGCACGAAUUAUGUUCUACCAAUACCAUUACCAAUAUCUACUACGGAUAUUGGUAAUAACACCCUUGAAUAUUAAUAAGCUACUUUUUUCGUUUCAGAUUAUAAGUUGUUUCGACUUUCAUCAAAGUUAAAUUAUUUCAAGUUUGAUUAAGUUUAUAUUUUUAACCCAAAACAAAUAUAUUAUAAAAAUACAUUCAAUUAUUAAUUUAAUAAAAUUAAUUGUUAUGAUAAAUAUUAUUAUAUUUAUCUACCAACUCAGUUAAACUCGAAAUAGUUUGAUUUUGACCAAAGUGAAAAACGACUUACAAUCUAAAAUAGAUGGAAUAUUAGUCCUUUAUGAUUUUUCUACUAAGUAGCUCGGUGGUCUCUACUGGUAGAGCUGAUCACUGUACUAUUUUCCAAAAGUAUAAUAGUACUCCCUCCGUUUCAAAAUGUUUGACACCAUUGACUUUUUAGUAUGUGUUUGACCAUUCGUCUUAUUCAAAAAAUUUAAGUAAUUAUUUAUUCUUUUUAUAUUAUUUGAUUUAUUGUUAAAUAUACUUUCAUGUACACAUAUAAUUUUACAUAUUUAACAAAUUUUUUUAAUAAGACGAACGGUCAAAUAUGUGCUAAAAAGUCAACGGUGUCAAAUAUUUUAAAACGGAGGGAGUAUUUUUUUUAGAAGCUAGAGUCCAAGCGUUUAAGGCUCUCGCCGAGCAGUCCAUCUCCCACUUGUGCGGUGUGUUGACGAAAUUCACUGACAGGGGAGCAUGGGGUGUGUGCUUAUAUAAACACGGACACUCGAUUUAGCUAAUAGCUAGCUGGAGCUCGAUCCUGAAGAGCAGUAUCAGUGCUCAGCUCACUGUUCAUCAUCACCCUCACCUCUUCUCUCUCCCUCCCUUACCUUCCUCCAUAGACGACUGCAGCUAGCUCGAUCGGAGAUCGAGGCCAUGUCCAUGGCGGCGGAGAGGGUGGAGGCUGCCGGCGGCGGCGACGACGACUACACGCAGGACGGCACGGUGGACCUCCAUGGCAACCCGGUGCUCCGGUCCAAGCGCGGUGGCUGGAAGGCAUGCGGCUUCGUCGUCGGUAAGGAUUGAAGACGAUGAACUCUCUCUCGUGCAUCCGGUUGGAUUCAGCAUAUAUGCAUGCAGUGAUCUAAUUAAUCCUUUCAGCUUGAUUAAUCUGUCAUGAACAAUUCAUGGCAGGGUUUCUCCUUUCUUUCAUGGGUUGGCAUAUGGUUUAAUUACUUGCAAAUUGAUUGAUAUUCUUGGUUAGAAACUAGACAUAUCGAGGCUUGUGUUUGAUUUGUUUAUAUGCCACGAGCGUUUGAACAUUUUCCUCAUCUGCUCACCCCUCACCGCAUGCGGCGGGUGCAGGAUUUGGGAGAUUUGUUUUGAUAGGAUCGAUGAUUGUUUGUUAUUUUGUCCGGCCAAUCGCCAUGGUUUUCAUUAGCUGCCAUUUUGUACUCCUGCCAUAGUCUUUGGUACUACUAUUUUUAUAAUCUCCCUACCUCGUGUCUCAGACAAAAUAUCCUCCUUGGUAUUAUAACCUCUACGGUAUCUCUCAAGGACGUAAGAGUAGAGUACUUCGUCAUGCCUGAUAACCUUUUUUCACGAAUACGCAAAAGGUUUGUGUUUCUUUGUUCCAAGAAGGUAGAGACCACCAUGUGCAAUACUAGUUGUUAACUGGUCGCUUGAUCGCAUCGUUUUCUGUGAAGUCAGAGUCAACAUAUCACAGUGUAUCUGCUCAAAGUCUCUCACAUGGAUAGUAACAUGUGCUACAGUAUUUCUGUACUUGCGCCACUUUCCUGUAGAAAUGGUUCUUCAGUGAUUGUGUAUACAUGUACUGUACUGACUAAUCAGUCAGAGCAUACGGUUCAAGUGGUCAACGCUGACAAGAAGCAGGACAAAAUCAAAAACACUAUAGUACAAGGUUUUCCCUACCUCCUUUUCUUUUUUAAGGGCCUAUUCGGAUUGGAGAAAUUUCACGGGAUUUUUGAAGGAACUGAACUGUUGUUACCUGUGAAAAUCUUGUAAAAUCGAAGGAGCCCUAAGAUUUCUCCUACAUCUUCUGAAUUUCUGAUAGAUAACAAUACAAGUACAUGGUGUGCCAAUCACUGAAGACUGAAGAUGAUAUGUAUGGGCAGUGUGUAGCUAGCACAGUAGGAAAAUGUCAAAAAGUUCAGUAUGUUCAGGACCACUGAAUUUAUCCUACUAGGAACAGGCGUGCAUGAUUUUCUGAAUUUCUGAUAGAUACACCAGCGGUGGCUAUGAACUGAAGAAGCUGGAUAGAAACUUCACUGUUGCAAUAUGCAGUGCUAAUUUAAUACAGUACUACUUCUAAUCCUCCCAAACUUUGGAGUGAUCUUUUCAUAGAUUAGGAAAAGGUGUAGUUAACCAACUUGAACAUGGACUGCCGUUUUGUCUGAAGUGUUGGUUCGAUUCAGACCCAGCUGAAAAACAAUUUAAGGCAGGAGUGAGUUAGUUUGGAUUCCUACGGUUAAUUACUAGCAGUUGAUCCAAUAACAGUUUGCGUCAUCAGAGAUGCAAUUUAGACUGAAUCUGACAGGGAAAAAGCCUAAGAAAUUGUUUGGUGAUGGCUGCCCUGUCCUGUCUGCUUGGAGCGACAAAUAGGAGUUGGAAAUUGACCUUUGUGUUAAUCAACGGUUUAGGGUAGGGACCCAGCUGAUCCCUACUAUAUGAUUGCUUGGAAAGAGGCGUUUUGUUCCAGCCCGGUUGGAAUCUGUAUCUCAUCGCAUUAUUUGUUCAUGACAAGAAAGAAUGAUUAUGUUAGUGGCUGUCACCUUCCAAUGAUCACAACACUUAUUAGCUCGUUGUAAAUGUGCUAUCUUCUCUGUCAUAGAGGAUUCUUGUUUUACUUUGACAAAUAACAAAAGAAGUACAUGUUCAUUGAAACUGGUUUGCAUGAACAACUUGUCCAAACUGCAAAAUGUUUUUUUUCUAAAUAAAAGAGAAGAGUUAAAACAUAGGAUGCUCUGUUGCAUGGUUGUGUGGUGGUUAUGGUUUGGUUAGAAAUGCAGAGACCAUGAGUCCUGUGGCUCAUGAGAGAGAAUGGUACCUCGGUAAAAAAUGGUUGGUUGAUCUCCAUGCAUAUAUUUUCCCAACCAUACAUAAAUCUGGUCCUUAAUUAGUUAACUAAGGUUGUGUUUUUCCCCUUUUCCCCCCAACAGCCCAACUUACCUUCCUCUUUUUUCCCACGCACGUUUUUCAAACGGCUAAACGAUAUAUUUUUUAAAAAAGUUUUCUAUAGGAAAGUUGCUUUAAAAAAAUCAUAUUAACCUAUUUUUCUAAAACAAUAACUAAUACUUAAUUAAUUAUACACCAAUAAGUCAUUCUGUUCUACGUGCACGAGGGAUUAGUCCCAACGGCCACUGCCAAACACAGCCUAAGAAUUCAUGUGUUCCAAACAGAAUGUACUGUUACUACUGUAUACCAUGUUUUAAAGUGAAUUAUUGUUGUGCUGAUAAUGAAAAAAAAUGCAGUGUACGAGGUGUUCGAGAGAAUGGCGUACUACGGGAUAUCGUCGAACCUGGUGCUGUACCUGACGACGAAGCUGCACCAGGGGACUGUGUCGUCGGCGAACAACGUCACCAACUGGGUUGGCACCAUCUGGAUGACCCCGAUCCUCGGCGCCUACAUCGCCGACGCGCACCUUGGCCGCUACCGCACCUUCAUGAUCGCCUCCCUCAUCUACCUCAUCGUAAGUCCCUCACCUACUCCAUCUCCCUCCAUCUACAGCAGAGCACGAGAAUCUUGGAACAGAUCAAAUGAACUAUACCCUCUGUGCUAAAAUAUAAACAUUUUUAGCAUCGUGGCAAGUCAUACAUUUCUAACUUUGAUGAUUAUUAAUAGCAAAAAAUUGAUGAUUAAUAGCAAAAAAAAUAUAAAAAAUCAAUCAUGUAAAAUUGAUCUUACCAUUAAACAAACUAUUAUAAUAUAUGUAACUAUUUUUAUUUAAAACAUCUUACUUUUAUAUAUAUUGUUGGUCAAAUAGCAUCUCGGAUACUGUGACAGGAUCUAAAAUUACUUAUAUUUUUUAGGACGCGGGGAGUAGAAAUCAAAAGCUAGAAAAUAAAUUAGAAACCAGAACUUAAAAAAUCUAUUGGACUUUUAGAUUUUCAAAAGUUAGUUACCCACCAGCUGCUUGGAUUGCUCUCGUGUUGAAAAAUGCAGUCCCUGUCUGAAGACUGUACGACCAUCUAGCUGCUCUAGCCCACAAAAAUCAAGAUGGGCUUUAGCUCGAAGCCCACAAAGUCCAGUGAAAAAACAAAUUGCAAGCCCAAAUCCAGCACGACUAAUUCAAACCAAAUCUGUAGAUUUUUGUUACCAAAUUUGAUCGAUAGAUUCCGAAUUUUUGAACGUCGCUCGUCUCGUCUCGUCUCGUGCAGGGGAUGAGCCUGCUGACGCUGGCGGUGUCGGUGCCGUCGCUGAAGCCGCCCAAGUGCGGCGCCGGCACGGCGGACCCGGGCUGCUCGGAGAAGGCGUCGAGCCUCCAGCUGGGCGUCUUCUUCCUCGCGCUCUACAUCCUCGCCGUCGGCACCGGCGGCACCAAGCCCAACAUCUCCACCAUCGGCGCCGACCAGUUCGACGACCACCACCCGCGGGAGCGCCGCCAUAAGCUCUCCUUCUUCAACUGGUGGAUGUUCAGCAUCUUCUUCGGCACCCUCUUCGCCAACACCGUCCUCGUCUACCUCCAGGACAACGUCGGCUGGACCGUCGGCUACGCGCUCCCCACCCUCGGCCUCGCCGUCUCCAUCGCCAUCUUCACCGCCGGCACGCCGUUCUACCGCCACAAG